RNAcentral lists this signal recognition particle RNA (103 nucleotides) under Rickettsia typhi str. Wilmington. It matches the Rfam family "Bacterial small signal recognition particle RNA". Rfam says of the family: The signal recognition particle (SRP) is a universally conserved ribonucleoprotein involved in the co-translational targeting of proteins to membranes. Archaeal SRP consists of a 7S RNA and homologues of the eukaryotic SRP19 and SRP54 proteins. In most bacteria, the SRP consists of a 4.5S RNA and the Ffh protein (a homologue of the eukaryotic SRP54 protein). The record is from RNAcentral. Lineage: Bacteria; Pseudomonadati; Pseudomonadota; Alphaproteobacteria; Rickettsiales; Rickettsiaceae.
UUAAUUAUACUAGUAGUGGGCAUUGCUCUUGCUUAGUUGGUCAGAUCUGAAAAGAAGCAGCCAGAGUAAGAUUCUGUGGGUCAUUACUAGUAUCGUUGCUUAA